RNAcentral lists this non-coding RNA (218 nucleotides) under Bacillus subtilis subsp. subtilis. RNAcentral also lists the same sequence under 1 other name. The record is from RNAcentral. Lineage: Bacteria; Bacillati; Bacillota; Bacilli; Caryophanales; Bacillaceae.
AGAAUUUCUCAGAAAUUCUGCUUCUAUGCAUACAUAAGCGCAAAAAGUGCCAUCGUAAUAUUAGAGUUUCUGUCACUUGCUUAGGUAUGAAGGUAAGCGUAUAUCCAUUUGCAAUAAAAAUAUGGUUAUGGUAUAGUUUUAUUGGAAAUGCUAACGAUUACCGAGGCAAAGAGUGGGGAAACCCGCUCUUUUGUAUUGAACAGGAGAAUUUUGUCUCG